AACUGACUCACAACACUCACAGAAAAGGAAAUGUCAGGUGUUGUCACUGUAAGGUAAUUUAUUUUACUAACCAACCGUCUAUAUCUUGCAGGAUCACUAAGAGGCUCCCCAUAUUCCAAUGACUAUCACACGGAGAACCCAUAAACUGUCUCACAACACUCACACAAAAGGAAAUUUCAGGUCUUGUCACUGUAAGAUAAUUUAAUUUUCCAACUAACCGCCUAUAUCUUGCAGGAUCGUUAAGAGGCUCCCCAUGUCCUGGAAGAAGUUUAGAAUUCGGAUCCAUUGGAGUGUCAACAGGUUUACAACCUGUCAUUCCUGUCUCCUCAAGAAUAUCUAAGGCAUACUUCCGUUAUGAGAUCACAAUACCUGAGCUAGACUGAGCGACCUCAAUACCCAGAAAAUACUUUAUUGUGCCCAGAUCCUUAGUCUGAAAGUGUUGAAAGAGAUUUUGAUUCAAUUUAGUAAUACCAUCCUGGUCAUUACCGGUAAUAACAAUGUCGUCAACAUAGACCACCAGAUA
This 523-nucleotide long non-coding RNA is filed under the name Nicotiana benthamiana. Its description in RNAcentral is "long non-coding RNA (NBEN_LNC024369)". The record is from RNAcentral. Lineage: Eukaryota; Viridiplantae; Streptophyta; Magnoliopsida; Solanales; Solanaceae.